This 374-nucleotide long non-coding RNA is filed under the name Ictidomys tridecemlineatus (thirteen-lined ground squirrel). RNAcentral's name for it is "lncRNA (ENSSTOG00000032737.1)". Lineage: Eukaryota; Metazoa; Chordata; Mammalia; Rodentia; Sciuridae. The record is from RNAcentral.
GCUUCUCCUGUCCUGCUGAUUUGACAAACUUUCCCAAGAUGAACUCAGGAAGAACACUUACAUUUUUCAGGCUACAUGCUUUGUCUGAGGAGCCUAAACAAACACCCCAGAGAACAGAGGUUAGCUCCGAGGGCUGUCUACCUUCCUGCUCUAAUCUUUACAAUGGUGCCAUUCUUCACCUUUUCUUUCUCUCCGGAACAAUCAGUGGCUUAAAUUGUACCUGUUCCAGCGAGACAGGUUUGCAGGUUUCAUAAGCCUUCAUGACAGACUCAAGCAACCACCCACACCUGCCCUGCUCUAGAGUUCGUCACCCGUCCAUCCUAUCUUCCCACUGCAAGAACAAGGUCUGUUUCAUGUUUUGUUCUAACUCUCUG